AGAGUUUGAUCCUGGCUCAGGAUGAACGCUAGCGGCAGGCUUAAUACAUGCAAGUCGUGGGGCAGCAUGGUGUAGCAAUACACUGAUGGCGACCGGCAAACGGGUGCGGAACACGUACGCAACCUUCCUUUAACUGGAGAAUAGCCCGGGGAAACCCGGAUUAAUACUCCGUAACAUUAUGAAGUGGCAUCACUUUAUAAUUAUAGCUCCGGCGGUUGAAGAUGGGCGUGCGUCUGAUUAGGUAGUUGGCGGGGUAACGGCCCACCAAGCCUACGAUCAGUAACUGGUGUGAGAGCACGACCAGUCACACGGGCACUGAGACACGGGCCCGACUCCUACGGGAGGCAGCAGUAAGGAAUAUUGGUCAAUGGACGCAAGUCUGAACCAGCCAUGCCGCGUGGAGGAUGAAGGUCCUCUGGAUUGUAAACUUCUUUUAUUUGGGAAGAAACCCCCGAUUUCUAUUGGGGUUGACGGUACCAGAUGAAUAAGCACCGGCUAACUCCGUGCCAGCAGCCGCGGUAAUACGGAGGGUGCAAGCGUUAUCCGGAUUCACUGGGUUUAAAGGGUGCGUAGGCGGGUUGGUAAGUCCGUGGUGAAAUCUCCAAGCUUAACUUGGAAACUGCCGUGGAUACUAUCAAUCUUGAAUAUAGUGGAGGUGAGCGGAAUAUGUCAUGUAGCGGUGAAAUGCUUAGAUAUGACAUAGAACACCCAUUGCGAAGGCAGCUCGCUACACUAUUAUUGACGCUGAGGCACGAAAGCGUGGGGAUCAAACAGGAUUAGAUACCCCAGUAGUCC
RNAcentral lists this ribosomal RNA (795 nucleotides) under uncultured bacterium. RNAcentral describes it as "bacterial SSU rRNA". It matches the Rfam family "Bacterial small subunit ribosomal RNA", at positions 8 to 796 of the family's 1533-position model. The record is from RNAcentral.